GCCGGCCGGCCGGCACCGCCACCUCCUGCUCCCGGCGUGCGGCCGCCUGGGGGCUGCUGCUGCUGCCGCCGCCGCUGAGCCUCCUCCCUCCUCCCCCCGCCGCGUCUCCAGGCUGAGCCCUCCCCGCGGCCCGUGCCCACCUGGCCCGCCCCUGGCAGGAAGGAGGAUGGCGGAGAGUGAAGCCGAGACCCCCAGCACCCCCGGGGAGUUUGAGAGCAAAUACUUUGAAUACAAUGGAGUGCGGCUCCCUCCCUUCUGCCGGGGGAAGAUGGAGGAGAUCGCCAAUUUCCCGGUGCGGGGCAGCGAUGUCUGGAUUGUCACCUAUCCCAAAUCAGGCACAGGCUUGCUACAGGAAGUGGUAUAUCUAGUGAGUCAGGGAGCUGACCCUGAUGAGAUUGGAUUAAUGAAUAUAGAUGAACAGCUUCCAGUCCUAGAGUAUCCUCAGCCUGGUCUGGACAUCAUCAAGGAGCUCACAUCUCCUCGCCUCAUAAAAAGCCACCUACCAUAUCGGUUUUUGCCUUCAGACCUCCAUAACGGCGAUUCCAAGGUAAUAUACAUGGCUCGCAACCCCAAAGACUUGGUAGUGUCCUAUUACCAGUUUCACCGCUCCUUAAGAACCAUGAGCUACAGAGGAACAUUUCAAGAAUUCUGUCGAAGGUUUAUGAAUGACAAGUUAGGAUAUGGUUCAUGGUUUGAACAUGUGCAAGAAUUCUGGGAACAUCACAUGGACUCCAAUGUACUUUUCCUCAAGUAUGAAGAUAUGCACAAGGACCUGGCAACAAUGGUUGAGCAGCUGGUGAGAUUCUUGGGAGUUUCUUAUGACAAAGCACAGCUGGAAUCCAUGGUGGAACAUUGCCAUCAACUCAUUGAUCAGUGCUGUAAUGCAGAAGCCCUUCCAGUUGGCAGGGCACAUUGAUCUUUACUCUGAAGAAAACCCUCAGCUGCUGUGAAAGCAGAGCAUUUUGAUUAGCUAUAUUACUUAUAUUUGCUUCAUAUCACAUCAUAAAUUACACAGUUGCAUGAUUCAAAUGAUAAACCAGGACGAGUUGGGCUAUGGAAAGACAUCUUCACUGUGUCAAUGAAUGAGAAGUUUGAUUUAGUUUAUAAGCAGAAGAUGGGAAAGUGUGACCUCACAUUUGACUUUUAUUUAUAAAGAAACACGCAUGCAUACAAUAUCCAAAUAUUAGCUAGCAGUGCUUUAUGCGUUCAUUUAUUACCUGCUGGACAAACUACUGUAGCUAUUAUGUGUAACAUGACUGAAAAACAAACAAAAUCUAAGUAAACCAUAGGAAACACUAUUAUUCUUGAUCCUAAACAGCUGUUUAUCCUUCAGCAUUUUAAUCUUUUGUCAACAUGCAAGAAUUUCAUAGAUAGUACAAGAAUACUCAGCUGUUAUGGAAUGUAUUAUAUAAGUAUAAGGUAUGUAUCAUAUAUGCAACUAGAAUGUACACUUUUUCAGCCCCACAUUGAUUAUUUAAUGUAUUUUAUAGAAGCUUUUCACUGGAAACCUAAAUGAAAUUCAGUAAACCAAAUAAAAAAUUAUUUCAGAAGGAAAUCAGUAAUAGGCCAAACCAAACUGUAUGCGAGAAUGAUCUCAGGGGUUAGCUGUCACAUUUAUUUUUAUAGUUGGAAUGUCAAGGACAAAACAGUCCUAUCCCAAAUUAAAAGGCUAAAGAUGGAGGUUUCCUUUAAUUUCUGCACUUCCAUUAUUUGUAGGAUUUCUGAGUGGAUACCAUUCGCUGGCACACUUUGCAAGCCAAACAUAACUGCGGUUGUCACUCCGCGCACACAUGCUCUUACGUCUGAUAAGAGGUGGCUGUAUUCAGAGUGAAUGAAAUUCAUCCCUGUGAAGAGGGCAGGCCGUCACAAGGGCCUGUUCAGCACUUAAGUCUCACUCAAGUCCUCAGCACAGGGUGUAAGUGAGUUGUAAGUGGUGCAUGGGGCUUGUGCUGGGCCUAUGGUUAGGAGUCAAUUUCUCCCAGGGUUUCUGUGAUACGUGCUGGUCUUCCACACAGGUCUGAGUUUCACCCAUUGAGAAUGAUCCUCUUAGGUAACGAGAGCGUUCUGCUGGAUUCUGAGAACCCUCAAGUUCCAUUGAAAUCAUGGGAGUUGAGGGAACUUAGUAUUUUUAACACUUUUAGACUCAUUCAGACAUAAUUUGAAGAUGGAUGUACAUAUUGGUACAAAUACGUAAAUGAACUAGCAGGUCUUGAAGAAGAGAUUUUAAGGAUACUCCAGCACGUGGGAGUAUUAUGCAAGCGAUGGUAUUUAUGCAGAAUACAAUUGCAGCAAUUGACUGUCAGCCAUUAAUUUAUAAGCAGGAUUUGAGUUUAUUUUUUCUGUGUCUUUUUAUUUCCCCGAUAUGCCUGUGGGUAGUUACAUAUUAACCUGGUGCAGGCUACUGUAACAAUGAGAUUCUACAGAAUUAUUUGAUCCUUCAGUUAAAAAGCUAUAUUUUUAGGUUCUCAGCUGCAGGAGGCCCAUUUUGCUAGCCCUACAGUAUAUCUCACCAAAAGCUGUGAGGAAGGACUAGCGGAUUUUAGUAUUUUGCUUCUGUUGGAAAAUAACCUGUCAAUGCAGCAAUUGGCAAGUGGUGUGGCAUGAUGUGGCUUGACAGCACCUUUCUUUGUAUAUCUGUGAGUGAAACUGCUUUCAGUGAAAUUUUAUUUCUAUUUUUAUAUUUUUAGUACUGUAUGACUAUUAAGCA
RNA transcript from Mauremys mutica (yellowpond turtle), 2707 nucleotides. It is a transcript of the gene named sulfotransferase family 4A member 1, with no coding region annotated. The record is from RefSeq and is a predicted model, not a curated record. NCBI's taxonomy places the organism in Eukaryota, Metazoa, Chordata, Testudines, Geoemydidae. The transcript has 8 exons.